RNAcentral lists this transfer RNA (72 nucleotides) under Smittium mucronatum. It matches the Rfam family "tRNA". From Rfam's summary of the family: Transfer RNA (tRNA) molecules are approximately 80 nucleotides in length. Their secondary structure includes four short double-helical elements and three loops (D, anti-codon, and T loops). Lineage: Eukaryota; Fungi; Kickxellomycota; Harpellomycetes; Harpellales; Legeriomycetaceae. The record is from Rfam by way of RNAcentral.
CCUCGGAUAGUAUAAUGGUGAGUAUUACGGUCUGUAAAAUUGGCGAUCGAAGUUCAAUUUCCUGUCCGAGGG